Molecule: ribosomal RNA, 416 nt
Filed under: uncultured bacterium
Lineage: Bacteria
Description: bacterial SSU rRNA
Rfam family: Bacterial small subunit ribosomal RNA
Source: RNAcentral
AACGAACGCUGGCGGCAGGCCUAACACAUGCAAGUCGAACGCUCGUAGCAAUACGGGAGUGGCAGACGGGUGAGUAACACGUGGGAACCUUCCCUAUGGUUCGGAAUAGCUCAGGGAAACUUGGGGUAAUACCGGAUAAGCCCUUCGGGGAAGGAUUAUCGCCAUUGGAUGGGCCCGCGUCGGAUUAGCUAGUUGGUGAGGUAACGGCUCACCAAGGCAACGAUCCGUAGCAGGUCUGAGAGGAUGAUCAGCCACACUGGGACUGAGACACGGCCCAGACUCCUACGGGAGGCAGCAGUGGGGAAUAUUGGACAAUGGGCGCAAGCCUGAUCCAGCCAUGCCGCGUGAGUGACGAAGGUCUUCGGAUUGUAAAACUCUUUUGGCGGGGACGAUAAUGACGGUACCCGCAGAAUAAG